GAUGAACGCUGGCGGCGUGCCUAAUACAUGCAAGUAGAACGCUGAAGGAAGGAGCUUGCUCUUUCCGGAUGAGUUGCGAACGGGUGAGUAACGCGUAGGUAACCUGCCUGGUAGCGGGGGAUAACUAUUGGAAACGAUAGCUAAUACCGCAUAACAGUAGAUGUUGCAUGAUAUCUACUUAAAAGGUGCAAUUGCACCACUACCAGAUGGACCUGCGUUGUAUUAGCUAGUUGGUGAGGUAACGGCUCACCAAGGCGACGAUACAUAGCCGACCUGAGAGGGUGAUCGGCCACACUGGGACUGAGACACGGCCCAGACUCCUACGGGAGGCAGCAGUGGGGAAUCUUCGGCAAUGGACGGAAGUCUGACCGAGCAACGCCGCGUGAGUGAAGAAGGUUUUCGGAUCGUAAAGCUCUGUUGUAAGAGAAGAACGAGUGUGAGAGUGGAAAGUUCACACUGUGACGGUAUCUUACCAGAAAGGGACGGCUAACUACGUG
RNAcentral lists this ribosomal RNA (497 nucleotides) under uncultured bacterium. RNAcentral describes it as "partial 16S ribosomal RNA". It matches the Rfam family "Bacterial small subunit ribosomal RNA", at positions 28 to 507 of the family's 1533-position model. The record is from RNAcentral.